This is a non-coding RNA of Callithrix jacchus (white-tufted-ear marmoset), 7354 nucleotides long. The record is from RefSeq and is a predicted model, not a curated record. Lineage: Eukaryota; Metazoa; Chordata; Mammalia; Primates; Cebidae.
AACAGUUCUAGAAAGUAUCUCACAAGCUCUCAAGACUUGUGUCAUUAUAGUUUGAUUCUUCUUAAAGCUCUGUUUAUGAAUCACAAAUCCUUUGACGUAACAGGACACAUGGAAAAUUCCAUUAAGCCGUCAAUAUCAAAUGUCCUCUGCAGUGGUUUUCUGUUCCUUCUGUAACAGACUGCCACAAAUUUUAUGAUGGAAAACAACACAUUUAAUAUCUUAAGAGUUCUGUAGGUCAGGAGUUUGACAAAGGUCUUGCUGGGGUAAGAUUAAGGUGUUGGCAGGGGACUCCUUUCAAUAGGUUCCAGGAGGGAAUCAGUUUCCUUGCCUUUCCCUUGCCUUGGCUCAUGGCCCCCUUUCUCUGUCUUCAAAGCCAGCAACAGCUGAUGGAGUUCACACAUUGCAUCACUCUGACCUCCUCCACUUUUUCCUUUUAUGUUUCUUUUGAGACAGAGUCUCACUCUGUCACUCAGGCUAGAGUGCAGUGGUGCAACCUUGGCUUACUGCAACUUCCACCUCCUGGGUUUAAGCGAUUCUCCUGCCUCAGCCUCCCUAGUAGCUGAGAUGAUAGGUAUCUGCCACCUUGCCUGGCUAAUUUUUGUGUUUUUAGUAGAGAUGGGGUUUCACCAUGUUGGCCAGCCUGGUCUCAAACUCCUGACCUCAGGUCAUCCAACACCUCACUUCCCAAAGUGCUAGGAUUACAGGUGUGAGCCACCGCACCUGGCCUAAUUUCUCGUAUUUUUAAUAGAGAUGGUGUUCCAUGGGCUGGGCAUGGUGGCACAUGCCUGUAAUCUCAGCACUUUGGGAGGCUGAGGUGGGAAGAUCACGAGGUUAGGACUUCGAGACCAGCCUGGCCAACAUGGUGAAACCCCGUCUCUACUAAAGAUACAGGAAAAAAAAAAAAUUAGCCAGGCCUGGUGGCCCAUUCCUGUAAUCCCAGUUACUUAGGAGGCUGAGGCAGGAGAAUCGCUUGAACCUGAGAGGCAGAGGCUGCAGUGAGCCAAGAUUGUGCCAUUGCACUCCAGCUUGGGCAACAGGGAGAGACUCUGUCUCAAAAACAAACAGAAAAAGAGAUGGAGUUUCGCCACAUUGCCCAGGCUGGUCUUGAACUCCUGGUCUCGAGUGAUCCACCUGCCUCAGCCUCCCAAAGUGCUGGGAUUACAGGUGUGAGCCACUGUGCCUGCCCUUCCUCCCUCUGCUGUUUUAAGGUCUUUUUGGAUUACACUGGGCUCACCCAGAUAAUCUAGGAUACUCUCCCUGUUAUAGGGUCCUUACUUGAAUUGCAUCUGAAAAGUCCCUUUUGCCAUGUAAGGUAACAUACUCACAGAUUCUAGGGAUUGGGACAUGGAUAUCUUCGGGGGCCUUUAUUCUUCCUACCACUCCCUCUUUUUUGUCUUAGUCACUCUAUAUCAAACCCGAGUCAUCAUUACUGAAAUGUACCAAGAAAAGAUAAAUGAGGCAUAUUAAAUUUGGUGUGGACUUAACAACCAAGUGAGUCAAAUCAUAUGAUAAGUUAAUACUUAUUGAGUAUCUAUAUAUGCUAAUCACUGUAUAGCACAAGUGGUAUAAAGUAUGUUCCUUUUCCUCAAUAAUUUUACUACUUAGUUGAUGAAAAUAGAUAAAAUCUCAUAGGCCAGAUGUCAUGGCUCAUGCCUGUAAUCCUACCACAUCGGGAGGCCGAGGUAGGAGGAUCACUUAAGCCCAGCAAUUCAAGACCAGCCUGGGCAACAAAGUGGGAUCCCGUCUCUACAAGAAAAUAAAAAUUUAGCCAGGCAUGGUGGCAUGCAACUGCGGUCCCAGCUAUACUGGAGGCUGAGGCAGGAGGAUUGCACGAGCUCAGGAGGUCAAGGCUGGACUGAGCCAUGUUCAAGCUGUUGCACUCCAGCCUGGAAGACAGAGUGAGACCUUGUUUCAAAACAAAAACAAUAAAAAACUGAUGAGGCGAUUAUCAGGGAAAAAAAGGUAUGCUGAACUAUAAAGUGCUGACAUGCAGUGUGGUCUCAUCAAAAUCAGUUAUUAGAAGUUGUAGCAGUUAGGGGCACUCAGUUAAGCCUUGCAUCUCAGGUAGGACUUUGAAGUGUAAGGCAGGUCAGUUUAGGGGGAAAUGCAUGAGUUGAUUUUGGAAUGGGAAUGAAUGUGUUGUUUGUAGAGAACACCGAGAAGACAUUGGAAAAUGUAAUUUAUUCAGUUUCUUUCUUUUUCUUUUUUUUGAGAUGGAGUUUCGCUCUUGUUACCCAGGCCGGAGUGCAGUGGCGCAAUCUCGGCUCACCGCAACCUCCGCCUCCUGGGUUCAGGCAAUUCUCCUGCCUCAGCCUCCUGAGUAGCUGGGAUUACAGGCACAUGCCACCAUGCCCAGCUAAUUUUUGUAUUUUUAGUAGAGACGGGGUUUCACCAUGUUGACCAGGAUGGUCUCGAUCUAUUGACCUCGUGAUUCCACCCGCCUCGGCCUCCCAAAGUGCUGGGAUUACAGGCUUGAGCCACCGCGCCCGGCCAGUUUCUUUUUUUCUUCUUUGAGACGGAGACUCGCUCUGUCGCCCGGGCUGGAGUGCAGUGGCACCAUCUUGGCUCACGGUAACCUCUUGUCUCCUGGGUUCAGGCGAUUCUUAUGCCUCAGCCACCCUGGUAGCUGGUAUUACAGGCAUCCGCCACCAGGCCUGGCUAAUUUUUGUAUUUUUAGUAGAAAUGGGGUUUUACCAUGGUGGUCAGGCUUGUCUCAAACUCCUUUUCUCAAGUGAUCUGCCUGCCUCAGUGCACCCAAAGUGCUAGGAUUACAGGCGUGAGCCACUUCGUCUGGCCAUAAUAUAUUUAGUUUCCUAAUCAAACAAAUCAACAAUCUUCCCUAACUCAAUUUUUCUCCCACCCUCUUCACCACAUCCACUUGAUAGAGUCCUGAUGAGUGUUAUUUUCAAUAGCGAUGCCCUUCCUUGGGUUCCUCCUCCCACAUUCCUGAUUCUUCCUGAGCUCAGUGAGGUCAUCAUACUCUUGGCAGCAUUAUUAUUGUUUUUUUCUUUUUUUUUUUAAAGUUCCUUUUUUUUGUUGUUUGAGACAGAGUCUUGCUCUGUCUCCCAGGCUGGAGUGCAGUGGCGUGAUCUUGGCUCUCUGCAACCUCUGCCUCCCGGGUUCAAGCGAUUCUCCUGUCUUAGCUUUCUGAGUAGCUGGGAUUACAGGCAUCCGCCAUCAUGCCUGGCUAAUUUUUGUAUUUUCAGUAGAGAUAGGGUUUCAUCAUGUUGGCCAGAUUGGUCUCGAACUUCUGGCCUCAUGUGAUCCACCCGCCUUGGCCUCCCAAAGUGCUGGGAUUACAGGCGUAAACCAGCAGACCCGGCUGAGCAUUGCUAUUGUUUGGAUCAUUCUAGGUGUUAAAGGCAUAUUUCCAAAGAUCUGUAGGAUUUUGUUUUCUUUAUCCAUGUCAGCCUUGUGUUUAUUGGUCAUAUUCAAUUAGUUUUAAAAUUCUAAUCUUUAUACUGCUAAGAGAGUGUCAUCAUUCUGGCAAGGCAAACUGAAAUUCCACUUCAAAAUUAGCAGCUUUCACAUUAGAAGACUUAAGGUAAUUAUCGUAACUUCUAUAAGCAUGGAAAUAACUUUUAAUUUUGCAGCUUCAUCAGGACAGCUUGACUUUCUCAUUACUGGCAAAAGAUAACUUACUGAUUUGGAAAGCAUAUAGAGAGAUGUGUUAUCUUUGGACAUGUUAUGGUUAAUUAUUGAAGUAGUAUCUGGAGUCAUUUUGCUUUAAUCUACAUAUGAUAUAUGAGCUCGAGAUGAAAACUGAUGAAUUAAGUUUUGUCUGUUUCAUUCAACGUCAAAUUCUUUAACGUAUCAUUUUUCAUAUAGUGAAAAAAGAUUAAAUGGAGAGAGAUCACUUGGAUAUUUAAAUUCUUUCAUUCACAAAUUUUUCUUGAGUUUCCCCUUUGUGCUCAAGUGCUGGCGAUGCAAAAAUGAACAAAAUGCCAUCUCUGUCCUCGAGGUCCUCUUUAGGUAGCUGAAAGACAGACAAACUGGAAGUACCUAGUGGAAAGUCAUUUUUCAUAUUAAAAAGUCUCUAAAAUGGGCCAGGUGCAGUGGCUCAUGCCUGUAAUCCCAGCACUUUGGGAGGCCAAGAUGCAUAGAUUGCCUGAGGUCAGGAGUUUAAGACCAGCCUGGCCAACAAGGUGAAAUCCUGCCUUUACUAAAAAUACGAAAAUUAGCUGGACUUCAUGGUGGGUGCCUGUAAUCCCAGCUACUUGGGAGGCUGAGGCAGGAGAAUCACUUGAACCUCUGAGGCAGAGGUUACAGCGAGCCACUCCAACCUGGACAAUAAGAAUGAAACUCUGUCUCAAAAAAAAAAAAUCUCUAAAAUAAAAAUGCAUCUUACAGUACAUGGCAUGCUAUGGUUAAAUUGGCAGUUUAAUUAUAAUAUAAAAUAAUGAUACUUCUUGCAAUCAAUUGUGUCUUAUCUUCCAUGAAAUACAGAAUAAGUGAAUUUUAAUGACUGUAAAAUGCAUUGAACAGUUCUAGGAUCAUAGCAAGUACUCAGUAAAUGUUAGCUAUUAAUACUGUAAUUGAUGGUGAGUGCUUUGAUAGAUAUGUACUCAGUUUUUUAAGAAGAGCUAUUCACUCAACUGACGGGCUCAUGAAGGACUUCUAGAAAAGGUGGCAUUUGAAUUCAUUCCUGAAGAAAAAGAAUUUAGGAAAAAAUGUCUGGGUUUCUGGGCAGACAGCUAAACAUGGGCAUUGUUACAAAGAAGGGAUCCAUCAUGUCAUCUUGGGCACAGCAAGCAGGUCAUUGUGACUGGAUCAGAGGGUACAUGGAGUGACAUGGCAGAAGACCAGGCAAGCGAUGGAUGCAAGGCCAGAGGAUGAAGAGCUUCUUCUUUGGGGCCAUGGAGUUUCCUUUAUUUAUAAAGUCAUAGGGAGCCAUUGACAUAUUAAAGUAGACUUGAUAAGGUAGCUCAUGCCCGUAAUCCCAGCACUUUGGGAGGCCGAGGUGGGAGGAUUGCUUGAGCCCAGGAGUUCGAGACCUCGUCUCUACUAAAAAUAAUAAAUUAGGUGUGGUGGCGCGUGCUUGUAGUCCCAGCUACGUGGGAGACUUGGAAGGCUCAAGAGCAUCUCUUGAGUCCAGCAGUUCAAGGUUGCAGUGUGCUAUGAUCACACCACUGUACUCCAGCCUGGGCAACAGAUUGAGACCCUUUCUCAAAGAAAAAGAGGGAUUAAAGUAGAAGACUAGCAGUGAGCUUUGCAUCUCAUAAAGUUUCUUCCACAUUUUUUCUUUCACAUCCAUGUGGAGGAUGUAUUGAGAGGCAAAAAUGCAGAAAAGGAGGCUGGUACGGAGUUCUCAGCAGCUUGCAGUGAUGCAGGUGAGAAACACUUAGGCCUGAGCCAGGGGAUUAACUGUCACUGGAGAGGAGAGGCAGUAGCUACCCAAGGCACAAAGAAGGUGGAAUCACCCAAACAUUUGUCAGAUUGAGGGUGAGGGGGCUUUAGAACUCCAAGAUUAUCCUCAGGUUUCUGCCUUUGGUGCCUUUAAAAAUUUUAAUCAAAGUUGAGAAUUUACUCUAUGCUGGGCACUCUAUAAAAGGCUUUAUCCUUACUGUGUCUGUUAAUCCUUGCAACAACCCUAUGAGAUGUAUUUUUACCCUCAUUUGAUGAAUACCUGAAACUCAGAGAGCUCGGAGGCCUUGCCUGAGGUUACCAGCAGCUCCACUUCUGUCUGUAAUCAGUGACAGGUUCCCAUUGCACACAGCGUGUCAUGCAGGUAGAAGUUUAAAAAUCCAGAGCUGCAUCUUUGCUUUCCAGGCCAGACAUGGUCAGAUUCCCUGUUUUCCCUUUACAACGUCUUUCAUCCUCCUUCUCAUCUUAGAUGAUCUACUUCAGGUAAGUAAACUAUUCAUGCUGGUCACUGUUCCCUCAGUCACCUUACUCGUUUUCAGCUUUGCCUGUGGCUUUGCACACGCACCCCAUUUGUCUCAGUCACAUCAGAGCCCCUGGUUGCUGAUGGUGCGCUCAGUGUGUGCCAGGCAUGGUGCUGAGUGCUCAGUGUGUGCCAGGCAUGGUCCUGGGUGCUCGGUGUGUGCCAGACAUGGUGCUGGGUGCUCAGUGCGUGCCAGGCAUGAUCCUGGGUGCUCAGUGUGUGCCAGGUACAGUGCUGAAUGCUCAGUAUAUGCCAGGCACGGUGCUGGGUGCUCAGUGUGUGCCAGGCAUGAUCCUGGGUGCUCAGUGUGUGCCAGGUACAGUGCUGGAUGCUCAGCAAGUGCCAGGCACAGUGCUGAAUGCUCAGUAUAUGCCAGGCACGGUGCUGAGUGCUUUCCAACUGUGUCUCCUGGCAGCACUGAGAAGAGGAUGUUCAGGUUCCCAUUUUACACAAGAGGAAGCCAAGGCUUAGGGAGCUUUAAACAAGUUGCCCAAGGCCAGACAACUAGUAGGUGGCAGAGAUUUCAACUGAGGACUGUUAGGUUUUCAAAAAGCUCCAUGUAUAUCAUCACAAUGAAGAUGAGGAAAAAGAAAAAAGCUCCAGGUUUUUGUCUCCUUUAAAGUCCAGAAGAAGUACUGCCUCCUCCAUGAGGCAUUUUCUUACCAUUCUUGCCAAAGAUGUCUUGUGCUCCUCCAAACUAUAAAAAAGUAUAUAUAUUUAAAAUAUAUUUAAAAACAUAUAUAUAUGUUUUUCGUCUUUUUUUAUUGAGACAGGGUUUCACUCCGUUGCCCAGGCUGAAGUGCACUAGCAUGAUCGUGGCUCACUGCAGCUUUGAACACCUCAGCUCAAAAAAUCCUCUGCCUCAGCCUCCUGAGUAGCUGGGAUCACAGAUGCUGACGGAAAGUUAAGUGUGAAAUUUGGGGUCCUCUUCCGAGACGACAAAUGUGCCAACCUCUUUGAAGCAUUGGUCGGAACUCUCAAAGCCGCAAAACGAAGGAAGAUUGUAACGUAUCCAGGAGAGCUGCUUCUGCAGGGUGUUCAUGAUGAUGUUGACAUUGUAUUGCUGCAAGAUUAAUGUGGCUCACCUGUCUCGAUGUACUGCCAUUUUUCGUGUCUGGUAAACUGGAUAUAAAGUGAAAGAACAAACAUUUGAGCAUACUUAAUGUGUUUUUAUAGAACUUUGUAAGCAAAAGGAGACUCAUGUUUUAGAAGUCUGGUUUUUUUUAUAUCUUGAAAGAAAAUUUAUGUAUGGCACUAUAAAAUAAACAAAUCCUAUUAUUUUUCUCAGGAAUCUGGUUGGGAAUUGUAGGGAGUGAGAUUUUUUGGAGGGGGGACAGGGGAAUGUUUGUUUCAUAUAUAAUUAGACAUUUUCUAUAGAUACUUGACAUUCUGCAAAAGCAACAAGCAAACCGAAGACCAACUCCUAUGAGAAAUAUUAUUGUAAUCAAGACAUGUAACUGUCUUAAAAUU